CAAGUCCAACGGUACAGGGGGCAACCCCUCGAGAGUGGCGAACGGGUGAGUAAUAUAUCGGAACGUGCCCAGUCGUGGGGGAUAACGUAGCGAAAGUUACGCUAAUACCGCAUACGAUCUACGGAUGAAAGCGGGGGAUCGCAAGACCUCGCGCGAUUGGAGCGGCCGAUAUCAGAUUAGGUAGUUGGUGGGGUAAAGGCUCACCAAACCAACGAUCUGGAGCUGGUCUGAGAGGACGACCAGCCACACUGGAACUGAGACACGGUCCAGACUCCUACGGGAGGCAGCAGUGGGGAAUUUUGGACAAUGGACGCAAGUCUGAUCCAGCCAUUCCGCGUGCAGGAUGAAGGCCCUCGGGUUGUAAACUGCUUUUGUACGGAACGAAAAGGUUUCUAUUAAUACUAGGAGCUCAUGACGGUACCGUAAGAAUAAGCACCGGCUAACUACGUGCCAGCAGCCGCGGUAAUACGUAGGGUGCAAGCGUUAAUCGGAAUUACUGGGCGUAAAGCGUGCGCAGGCGGUUAUGUAAGACAGAGGUGAAAUCCCCGGGCUCAACCUGGGAACUGCCUUUGUGACUGCAUAGCUAGAGUACGGUAGAGGGGGAUGGAAUUCCGCGUGUAGCAGUGAAAUGCGUAGAUAUGCGGAGGAACACCGAUGGCGAAGGCAAUCCCCUGGACCUGUACUGACGCUCAUGCACGAAAGCGUGGGGAGCAAACAGGAUUAGAUACCCUGGUAGUCCACGCCCUAAACGAUGUCAACUGGUUGUUGGGUCUUCACUGACUCAGUAACGAAGCUAACGCGUGAAGUUGACCGCCUGGGGAGUACGGCCGCAAGGUUGAAACUCAAAGAAUUGACGG
Molecule: ribosomal RNA, 857 nt
Filed under: uncultured bacterium
Lineage: Bacteria
Description: bacterial SSU rRNA
Rfam family: Bacterial small subunit ribosomal RNA
Source: RNAcentral